Molecule: non-coding RNA, 11440 nt
Organism: Vicugna pacos (alpaca)
Lineage: Eukaryota; Metazoa; Chordata; Mammalia; Artiodactyla; Camelidae
Source: RefSeq, a predicted model, not a curated record
AUGCCAUGGCCAAACAGCCAAAAUAACAUUUCAUUUUUGAAAAAGUAUAUUUUAAUUUUCUUUUGCUUUACAGCAAAACAAUGUAAUGCACAUACAAUAUAAUUUAUGUAUUACUAAUAUCACAUAUUUAAUCAGUAAAACACAAAACUGAUUCUUAAUUGUAAAUCUGUUCUCUGUGUCCCAUUCAUAUUUGGUUGGUGGUUGAAAAGCUAAUUCGGGCAUUUUUGACUGAAUCAAGGCAUGUACAUCAAAAAUAGAUUUUAGCUGGACUCACUACCCAUGUUGUUAAAGUGACCACAAUAAAGUGAAAUAUUUGGAGUGUUUUAGGAAUAAAAUAUAGAUGUGUAUGAGGACCUGAUUCAGUUUAAUAUAGAGUAAAUUUUCUUCCUAGUUAUUUCCAAUGUGCCUUGGAGUGUGAAGAAUAUUGGUAAAUCAUGCUUAUCAAGCUUUUAACUAGACAUAGUGCUGAUUAUUAUUUUAGAGGGAAUAUCUUAUCCUUACAGUAAAUAAAUACAACAGCUGCAUCUUUUGGGUGUUUUUCUUCUUGCUUUCAUUCAACUGUUUGUUGCACAAGUGCCUAACGUAUUAUUGACUCCUAGAAGCAAUCUUGAAAUGUAAUAUGUGUAGUGUGUAUGCCCCCCUUUAUUUUAACACACUUAAAAUUUACUAUUGUUCCUGCCCUGAAAUCUCUUUUUUUGGUAAACUUGGCUUACAAAGUUUAAUCUUGCUGAAAUAUUGAUGUUUAUUUUAUCUUCACCAACAAUGGGGUCUAUGAGUUUGUAAGUCAUUAUACCUUUUAUUUUCCAAUGUAGGAGUCUAGAAGUGAUUUUUUUAAAAGUAAAAUUUAUUUUUAAUGUCAUGAGUAUUCUCUCUUCUUAUGUGACUCAGGUAGUAGCUUCUGUUUAUCAAUGAAAAUAAAGACUUGUGGAAAAAAAAAAACAUUAACCUGGUCCUUGCAUUCAUUAGAUAUAUUUACAAGUCAUCUGUGAUCAGUUUAGUUACCAUCUCUUUGAUAUCCUGUAGCCAUUAUUGCAUGCUUUUGGGGUUAUGAUAUCAUGCUGUGGAAGAAUGGAUCAGCUGUGAGUGUUAUGUGCUUUUUUAUAGUUGUUCACAAUAUCUCAUACUAAAUUAUGUGGUGAAUUAUUGUACAUUAGCUAGUUAAAAAGAUGCCUAAUUGAUUCGCUAUGCUAAAAUAUCAAAGACUAUAUGCUGCAGGAGUGAUGUUUCCAGUUAACAACCUAUCAUGUAUUCAUGGAGACGACAAUGCUUGCUCACAUAUUGGCAAUAUUAUCUAAUUUGGUGUGCCCUGUGUUGUAAUUCAAUCAUCUAUUAUUAAAAAUAGAUAUGACUAUAGGGAGCAAAACCACAUACAAACCCAUAAACCCACAUCUGUGUGUAUUUACUUAUCCUCACAUAUAUAUUCAGUGAAUUUUUUGUCUUACCUACUAUUAAUGCUUACACUAGUGAGUCAUACAUGGAAAAUACGUAUUAGCUUUAAGGUAAAACAAAACAGAUUUUGAUUUAGUUCAGGUGAACCAUCUCAUUUAAAAUUAGCCCAGGGGUCUUGUAAAGAAUGCAAAUAAUCUAAACAUAAUAAUGCACAUUGCCCAAUUGCUUCUGUGUAUGAUACAGGUUCAGUAUUGUAGUGCUUUGACAGCCCAUUACUGAAUGUAAUGAACAGCUAUUUUUAAACAGAAGAAAUUCAGGUUGACAGCGUGGCAAUGAAAUUCAGCAAGUGGGAUAAUUUUUGUCAUCUUUAGUAUAGAGAAUGGAUUCAGUUUGGUGUAUCAUGUAGUUUAUAGAGCAUACAUUUUUAUUAAAAAGAUAAUUUUGUUGUCCAUUUUGGGGGCAGAUGUUACUGUUAGAAUAAGGAAUCAGCCUUUAAUGCAUAUUUUAAUGAACUGCUGAGACAUCAUCUCUAGAAUGUAGGUUUAAAAUCAGAUUUCCUUUUUUUUUCUCUCCUGCCAUGGGUGAAAUAUUCAGUCUAGUCAAAUGACUAUAAGAGUGACUAUAAAAGGUGUUUUUCAAUGCUGCUUUUUAGUCUUUCAGAGUUUAAAAGAAGCAGCUUUUUAGAAAUAAGGGAGUCUUGGAAAUGUACAUAAAGCUUCAGGCAGUGUGGUGUUAAUGGAAGUUAGUAUUAGAUAGAAUAGCAUGGAGGGAAAGAAGGAAAUUAUCUGCCUGACUGUAUAUUUUAGAGAACUUCUUUUACCAGGGAUAAGGGGAUGGUAACAUCUGAUUUUGACAACUUUUGAAAAAGUUGGAGAAACUUGUUCUACAGUUCUUAAAUAAAACAGGUAUAUUUUCAACUCAUACCAUAAAAAAGAAGAGGGUAAAUCAGAGUGAAUUAUUUCAUGUUUUCCUGUUUACAGCAAAAUUUGUUAGUUGCUAUUUUUCCUAAGUGUAGCUAAUUAUUAGGGCUUUUCAGAUAGCAAUCUUAGGUUCAACACUGAGGAUUUGUGUUAAAUGUAGCCUGAAAAAAAAAAAAACAAAAAAACAAGAAACAAGCUAUACAUUAUUCAGUUAAAUUUGAGUGAGUUAAAUUAAAUUGAAUAGUUGACCUAAAAUGGGCCAAUCAUUUCUGGCCCAAUUCAAUAAAACAACUUAAGUCUGAGGCAGUGGUGGAAAUUUAAAAAAUUGUCAGAGUCAUCCCUUCUGAAUAUCUUGCCAGAAACCUCCAUGCAUGGAUCUUCAUGACCCUUCCAUGCUUCCAGGGACCCUCCUUUGGGUCCCCAAGAGGCUAGCACCUGAGUGCUAUCUUUACUUCAGACUAUGCCUGAAAUUAGGAAAGCAGCAAAUCAUAUUUAAUAGCCAGGAGACUUCUCUAUUCCUGAUCUAUUUCCCUAUUUUACUUAUCUCUUGAAAAGCGUAAUGGCCCCUGAACAUAAUGUAGCAAUGAAUCUGUCUCCAAGUCAAGCAUUUUUGGAGAGGCUUUCGUGUUAGGUCACUACUGUACUCUUUAGAAUUGUAUCAUAUCAGUGAAUGAAAAGAAUUUCUUGACAUGAAGGAACUGGUGCACCUCAAUAAACAUUUUAUUUAAACCUAGAGAGGAUAUUGUUCAUCUAACAGGAGCUAGCUUAUUUCUAGCAAUAGUGCCUUCCGUUUGUAUCCUGAACUUUGAGCUCUUGAUUUUGUUGUGAAGUGACCCUCUUGAAAUCUAGGUUUACCCAUCAAUAGAGGACCUUGUAUGAGGCAGAAGGGCAUUAUCACAUCAGUCCUGCUUCUCUGUGGCAUCAUGGGGUGCUAGCUCAAGUACCUGAAGGAUAUUUUCACUUUCUUGAUGCCAGAAUAAUUUGAAAAGGCACCCAGGUAGUCAGAUAUUGAAAUAAUAAAAUAAUUUAUUAUGUAUGGUGUUGUUAUUCAUGGGGAGGAAACGACUGGCAAUGUGAAAGCAGGACUGUUGUUGCCAAAACCAAGCCCAGACAUCUAUUUUUUAGAAGGAUGCUUAGCUCUGAAGAUGGGCAGGAUGAAGAAAGUUACUGGUAAUUCCAAUAAAUGCUUUCCAUGUUAAAAUCUGGCUUUAUUUUUCUGUCUUCUCAUCUUUUGAGCUGUACUUUCAGCUCUGGGCAGUGCAAAAAAGGGAGAAGAAAUUGUGUACCCUUUAUACACUAUGGAGGGCUUGAGAAAAAUAUGAUAUGGCAGUGGUUUGCAAGAUACUGAGAAGGUUUCCAACCCAAUUAUCAUUCAUUGCAGCUGGAAGAAUUUAAUGGGAUAUGGUCCAAUGAAACAAACCCGUUGAAAUGUUCUUAUAGUAGACUCUAGUGUCCUGAUAAUCAAUAUUGUGUGAUAGUUAAGAAACAUUCUAUCUGGACCCUGACUGCCUGGGCUUGACUGUUGUCACUUACUAGCUGUGUAAGUUUGACCAAGUUCAUAUAACUACUUUGUGCCACAGUUUCCUUAAAAUGACAAAAAUCACAUCUAACUUCCAGGUUGGUUAUAAGGAUCUUAGAAUAAUGUCUGGCAUUUAGAAAGAGCUUAGUACGUGUUCUUGUGCCAAGGUUAAUUUUCUACUUAAACUUACAUUUGUAUAAUUUAAAGAAAUAAUUUCAGAAUCUGUUAUAGCUGGAAUGGUCCUUAUUAAAGACUUGGGUCUUUAAUUGAAGGUUAAAGGCAUCAGGAAUUCUAACUUUGGAAACAGAAAGUCAAAGUAAGAACUCAGUUUAAUUUGGUUAAUAUUUAUCAACCAUAAAUAUUAAGUAGCAUGGGGUGGGAUUUAUAAAAUGUUAAAAUCAUAUCUUCUAACCUUCUAGUAAACUCCAUGAGAGUAAAGGACAUGCUAUAUGCUGCCUAUCUUUGUAACCUAAAUUGUAGCUUCUAUAAUUCAAACAUUUGUUCAGUGAAAGUCAGAUGAACAUGAAUCCUUAUAUAUUGCUAGUAUAUAUUAGAUGCUUGAUAAGUUCAACUUGAAUGAAAGGGUAUUUGUGUAUAUGUGAAAAUAAAUUUUCACUAUUGUUGGAGAACUUAAAUGUAAGAAUUUUAGGUCUGAUAGAAUUAGAAGCACUCUGACUCUAAUAAGGUUGGGAAACAUUCCAGUCUUCCACUAAGAGAAUUAACAGAAUCUAUGUAAUUGUAAAGAAUAGGUUAUCAGUUGAUAUUUAACUAUUUACUGUAGGUUUAGAUCUUUCUUGGACCAUCAAGCCCUCUUACCCUAUAAUUCUCAAAUUUAUUAAAAUUUGUACAUCCUUGUGAAAGAAGAAGCAAAAAAGACCUUAGAAUGAAAAGAUUUAGCUAUAGCCAGUUUUACCUUUUCUAUAUGUCAUCCGUCUCUCUUUUAGGGGAAAGCAACUAGGAGAGAAAAUGAAAGAAAUCAUCACCAGUAACUUCAACUUCUUCUUCUUCUUCCUCCUCCUCCUCCUCCUCCUCUUUUUUUGGUUUAGUGGUAAAUAUGCUUAGGGAGAAGGGGCUCAGAAGAAAAUAUUUUGGCUGAGGCAGCCUACCUGUCCUUACCUUCGUGAUCUUGACUACAAUUGGAGCUGAAGUCCUCAAGCAACAUGUUUUUCUUUUCCUUCUCUCAGAGAUCAGUAAUCAGUUAUCCUAUUUUUUCUAAUUUAAGACUUCUCUUUCUCCAGCCCACGUAUGUUUUAUGUAAAGCUAGUGUCUGGGAUACUAUCUAUAACUCAUUCAAGCAAGCUUCUAUGCUAUAUUGUUAGAAUGAAUUCUAUUUAAAAUACUUAGUGAAAUACAGAAUUCGUAAGAUGGUUAUUGCUUUAGGUUGCAGCUGCAGUGAUACUGAUUAACAUUCAUCAUAGACAGACGAAAGUGAUUUAUUUAUGUUUGGAGGUGUGUAGGUAUGUUUUGAGUAGGUAGUACACUCAUAUGAUUCAAAGUUCAAAGUGUCCAAAAGAGUAUAUAUACUGUGAGAAGUUUCCUUGCCAUCCUUGGCCUUUUUCAACCCAUUUCCCCUUCCUGGAGGCAACUGCGAUGACCAGUUUCUUUUAAUUAAAACAGCAUUUAGAAAGAAGUUUUAGGCUCCUGCUGGCAUGGAAGACACAACCUCCAUCAGCUGUACAUCCACAAGGAAUUGUAUUCUGCCAACAACUUGAAUGAGUUUGACAAAAGACUCUGAGCCCCAAGUGAGAGCUGCAAUCCAGUAGACACCUUGGUUGUAUGUAGCCUUUUAAGAUCCGAGUAGAGGGUCCAACCAUUCCUGAACUCCUCACCCAUGGAAACUAUGAGAUUAUAACAUUUGUUAUCAAAAAAAAAGAAAUUUUAGAUGAUCAUUUUGCAUGUAUCAGAAUUUUUUUAAACCUAACAACCAGCUUUUUCAUAAUGCUUUAGCAGCUUACAAAAGUUCACUUUCUGUUUUCUCACUAAUCUCUGAGGGACAUGAGAGAAGUCGAUGAAAGGAGAUUGCAGAUGAAGACGACUUUAGCAAUAUUUGAUAGAUUAAAUUAUUUUAAACGUUUGUUUUCCUUUUUACCCCAGUUUUACUAGUAUAGGGCUUCCAAAGGCCUAGUGAUGGACAUAAAGAGAAUGACUAGCUGGGAUGCCAAGACUCUCAGAUUAGAUUUUAACUUCCCAAGUAUAGUAAUAAGACAAAUAAUGAGGCAAAAAUAGCGCUGAAUUUUAAGUGACAGAUAAGCAAAUUGAAAAUUUACCACCAACUUUUUGAAUUUUAGUUACACUAACUCGCUGUGGAAUCUGGGCUAGUCACUUCACCUUUGUAGUCCUUAGAUUACUUCUAAAUUAAAAAAAAAAAUGGGUUUGGGAAUAGUAACCUUUUCAGAUUUCCUCAGAAUUAUAGUUGUAAGCAGUAUAUAAAUUUAUAAAAAAUAGUUUUGAAGACCAGUUUUAGAAUUUCAAUGGUUAUUGUAUAUUCAAAACAGCUAUGGAAGCACUUUAUUUUCAUUUUAAAGAUUUACAAUUAAAGUGAUUUUAUGUAUACCUCAAAUGCCUGAUUAUAUACAAACCCAUUACAGGGUUUAUGCACACAUUAAAUCUCUCCUUAUUAUGGGGUUUUGUGCACAUUAAAUGCCUGGUUGUUAUAGAUUGUUGUUUUUCUUGUUACCGUUAAAUGUAACAUUUCCCUAGGUGAUGAAAUGUAUUAUUAUUGGGAACAUUUAUUUUAGUGUGUGUUCUGUAUUUUAAAAGAGAAAGGUAUUUAAACAGCAAAGAUGUAGCUGUUAAGAAAUUUAUUUUUUUAUAAAUAGCUUUCAGCAGAAAUCAGAGCAGUGCUUUAAAAUUACAGUCAAAAAAAUCAUUUAAUCAUCACACUCCUUGUUGGCUAAUAGGAUACUAAGUGACUUUUUUCUCCCCUGCAAUAGGCUAUUCUUGAUAUGCUCACUAAGUGGACCUAAGAGUACCAGUAUAUUUUAUGUUAGCAAGCCUUGAUAGCAAAGCGCUGAAAGUUCAGGGGGCAUUUGUCUCCUUUCUCACAAAUUCAUUUAAGUACCAGUCUUGCUGGAGCUUUAACUGGGGCAGACAACCAUACAAAUGACUUGAGAUAAAAUGAAAAUAAUGGACUGAGCUGGGUUCUGGGGAUGGUAGUUAUGCUGAACACACAUCAAUAAGCUUCGAGUGUGAUUCUAUGCUAAUGCAAGCCUGAUGGAUCAGCUUUCUCUUUUAGCCUGGAGGACCAUUAAGCUCUGGAAGCUGGGUCAAACUGAUAGAGUCUGCAAAUAUAGCCCAUUGGUUAGCAGCAGUAGUUAACUAGCUGUGAUUCCUAAUGUGCGAAACUAACAUUGCUUAAAAACCCUCUAUGAUCAGGACGUAGAUCAGGAAGAAGAUAAUAGAUUCUGUUUUAAUUUGCAUAAUCAAAGCUUCUCAUUUUUCCACCUAUAGAUAACAUAAGAGGGGAAAACAAACAGCUGUGACUACUUCCAUUAUGUUGUUAAUCUUGAAUCACAGCAAAUAAUUUCCAUAAAAAUGUAAAUAACUUGUUUCAAAAGAAAAGAGCAUAAUUGAAAGAUUUUCUGUGUUAUUUCUUUGGAAUUAAACUAUAGGCACAGUUAUGCGGGUUUGGUAAUGAGGAUCUUGGGGCUUGGAAAUGUAAAAAAAGUUCUUAAAAAAUUUGUGAGCUUUUCUUAGUGAUUUGGUUCAAAGACUAAAACUUGCUGCCUGUGGUCAGUCAGAUUUCUUUUAAUGCAUGAGCUUUGAAAUAGUACGUGUAGAUUAAUACUAUGACCAAAAUGACAGAAACUUGAUCAUUUCUUUUUCUCCAAAAGAAGAGAAAAUGAGCUAAUUUGUUUCAUAAUUUGUUCAGUUUACAAUGAACAACAUCAGAAUGGAAAGAAUCCAGAAACACUAUUUACUUUUAUGCAGCACAACUGCUAAGAGGACUGUGGUAUUAUAAAAAAGAGGGGGCUUCUACUCACUCACACCACUCUUACUCCUUUUACUCAUUCCCUUUUUAUCUGAAUACAUUACAGCUAUGGAGAACAGUCCUAUAUUUAACUCUUAUUUUAUAUAACUUUUAUUUAUUUUAUAAAAACUUUUAUAAAAUUUUAUUUAUUUUAUAUAAAUAUAAAUAUUUUCAUAUAUAAUAAGGUAUAGUAUAGUACAGUAUAGCUAUAGUAUAAUAGUUUUUAAAAAAAUUUAUUUUUAUUAUUGGGGGAAGGUAGUUAGGUUUAUUUAUGUUUAGAGGGGGUACUGGGGAUUGAAUUUAGGACCUCGUAUAUGCUAAGCAUGUACUCUACUUCUUGAGCGAUAUCCUCCCCUCAAAAAGUUAUUUUCAUAUAAUAUUUAACGUUCUAUAAUAUCUACUUGAGGGUAUUUACUCAAAUUCUAUUGACAUUCUUGUGAUGUUGGAGCUCUUUUUGUUCAUUCAUUUAAGAAACAUUUGUUUCAGGCAUUGUCUUGGGCACUGGUGGUGUGGUUGUCCUCUUCGAGCUUACUUUUUUUCUUUUAAUAGAGGAAACACAGCAAACAAGUUAACAAAGACAUAAUUUCAGAGAAUGAUGGGUUCUUAAGAGGAAUCUGUUCCACCUGGGAGUCCACUCAAAUCAUGUUUCUGCCAAAUAGACUCAGAUAUUAAAUAUGAUGCUGUUUUUUCAACCCAGAGUUUCCAGACUGUCUCAAAUUUUUUUUGAAUGUAAAGGUCAUAGGUAUAAAUUAAGUACUUUUGUGUACCUUAUUGUAAUCCAGACUGAUAUGUCUAAGAAAAACCUAAUAAAAUUCUAUAUGUGUGAUUUUCCCCCAAAUGCUUAAUGUAUAUGCCAACUCUCUUCAAAGCACUUUACUCACUUACUAAGUUAUUUAAAAAACUUUAAGAGGAGAUAUUAUUCCCAGGUAAGGAAACUAAGGCAAAGAAUGUUAAAUAACUUGCCCAGUUAUUUAGCUAGUAAAUGGGUGAGGUGGGAUUAAAACCUGGAUAGUUUGGCUCCAGAGUCAAUGUUCUUAAUCACUAUUACUCUGUGUCAAUGUGAAGAAAUUUUUUUAGCUGAAAAUGUGUUGCUAUAUUAAAAUGUAAGUUCUAGGAGGUCAAGGAAUAUGUCUAUUUUGUUCAACCCUGUCCUUGCACUUAGCACUGAACCUGGGCUUUAGUGGUUGCCCAAUAAAUAUUUGGAUAACUAAUAAAGUAAAAAUAAAUCAUAUUCUCAUUACUCAAAAUGAUUCAUGAUUUCAUCAUUCAAAGUUAUUAAUUCUAUGUUAAUAUUUUGGUAAUUAUUCUUUCAGAUAACUCUGUAUGUCAAUUUAGGCACUUACGUAUUUCAAAUAAAUCUGUUUAUAUUUUACGCAUCAUUGGGUCACCUGCAUUUUUCCAGUAAACAAUCGAUUUUGGAUUUUUUCAUGGCAAUGAACAUUAUAUGAACAUCAUAAUUAUUUUUGGAUCUUUAAUUGGAUACCUAAUAAUAGACCUAAAUUUAUUUCUUCCUUUUAUUUUUGCUAUUGCAAAGAAAACUGCAGUGGACACACAAACACACAGACAUGUAUACACACAUAUAAAUUGUUGCUGGAUCAAAGAUUUUGUGUAUCAUUGUAUAAAAUCCUUGUAUUUAUUGCUUAAGGAAUGUCUGUGUGCAAGAGGAAUAUUAUAUGAGUAAAUAGAAAUAUAAUUUAGAUAUCAGAUAUUUUUAGAGAAUGCUUUAAGUCACUUAAUUUAUAUGUUUGUUUCCUAUCUUCUUUUAUUUUUCUCUGCUUGAAGUUUGUUGAAGAAACUGAGUUACUUGUCCUGUGGAUUUUCCUAUAGACUCUUGAGUUUUACCUAUUACAUGUCCAGGUUGUCAUUUAACAUAAACUUCUAUCUUCUGUAUUCCCUGUAAAUUAAUAGAUCUAGAAGCUUGCAAUGUUUCAAGUUUUUCCUUCCUUACUUCCUCCUUCCCUCCCUCCCUCUCCUCCCCUCUCCCUGCCUCCCCUCUUCUCCCCUACCCCCCUCCCCUUCUUUCCUUCUUUCAUUCCUUCUCCAGAGAGGGUGUUAUUCUCCUCUGCCAGGAAGGACUCAAUGUCUGGUUGAAUGUUAUAUUAUAAUGUUCACAUUCUUGAUUAAUGCCACCAGUCCUUAAGUUAAUAUCUUUCCAAUCAUUUGAGUUGUUAUUCUUGUUCCUGAAUUUGUAUAACAAGCUACUUCAAAACUUAUGGCAUAGAAUGACAUCAGCAAGAUGGCAGAAUAGGAAGUCCCAGACCUCAGUGUUCACAGAGACACUGGUUUAACACAAUAUACUGUCCAGAAAGCCUUUAUGAGAACUCCAGAAACCAGUUAAGAGGCUGCAGUGCCACAGGCAAACUCAAAGCCAGGAAUAGCUAUAUUGAAAUGAGUAAGAAAAGCUGUUUCAUUUCAACCAUGUCAGCCCUUUCCUCAAGCUGACAUAGAUCAUGGUCAGAAGGAAAAGCCCAACUUCUCUUCUAGCUUCUCUUUUUUGGAGGGAAAGAGAAGAGUGGAAUGUACAUCCAAAUUCUAGCUUUUGGGGGACUGCCUCAGUAAUUAGUUUAUAUCGCACUUGAAUCUAAGCACUGACUGAACUGGCAUAUCUUGGAUGCCCGGCAACCACAGAGUACAAAAGAGAGGUCAGUGACUUGUUACAAUGCCAGAGAACCUGUAGUAUCAUAGACAUACUCCAGAGGAAGCAAGAGACUACAGACUCCUAAAAAGGAAAAUGGCAAACUUCUCUAACUGGGAAAUUACAUACACAAACCCAGAGAAGACACAUCUCCACAAAAAGUUUGAGAGGCCCCCAGACUCUGUAGCUGAGCUGAUUGAUGAUUGAUGAUACUAUUUUCUGUAGAAAGCCAGUCCAUAAAGACUGAGAGAGGUGAUUGUUUUUGCAAAUGCAUAAAUCACAACAAAAAGCACAGGAAUAAACAGGGAAACAUGACCGAAGUGGCCCAAAUCAAAGGAAACAAUGAAAUAUCCAGAAAUUAACUGUAAAGAAAUGAGUUCUAUGAAUUACCUGACAGAGAAUUCAAAAUAUCUUAAAGAAGUCCAGUGUGCUACAAGAGAACACAGAUAACUAAAUGAAGUCAGGAAAACAAUGCAUGAACAAAAUGAGAAUGCCAACAAAGAAAUAAAAACUGUAAAAACUACCUAACAGAAUUCUAGAGCUGAAGAAUACAAUAACUGAACUAAAAAUUUCACUAGAGGGGAAUCAAGAGCAGAUCUGAUCAAACAGAAGAAAGAACAGUGAACUUGAAGACAGGUCAUUUGAAAUUGUUAAGUUAGAGGACCAAAAAUAAACAAUAAUAAAGAAGUGUGAAGAAAGCUUAAGAGACAUGGAACACCAUCAAAUACACCAAUAACUGCAUUAAGCGAGUCUCAGAAGAGAGAGAGGGAGGGAGAGAAAGAAGGAGUGAGGGAGGAAGACUGGGGCAGAGUGCUUAUCUAAUAAAUAAUGACUGAAAACUUUCCAAAUCUGAAGAAGAAAUUAGACACCUAAAUUCAGGAGGCUUAAAGACCUCAACUAAGAUGAACUCAAAGAGACCAACACUGAGACACAUAAUUAAACUGUCAAAAAUCAAAGACAGAGAAUCUUGAAAACAGCACCAAAAACAAACAAACAAACAAAAACAC